CCUACGGGAGGCAGCAGUGGGGGAUAUUGGACAAUGGGCGGAACCCUGAUCCAGCGACGCCGCGUGAGUGAAGAAGGCUUUCGGGAUGUAAAGCUCUGUCAGCAGGGAAGAAAGAAAUGACGGUUCCUGACCAAUAAGCCUCGGCUAACUACGUGCCAGCAGCCGCGGUAAUACGUAGGGGGCAAGCGUUAUCCGGAAUUACUGGGUGUAAAGGGUGCGUAGACGGUUGAGUAAGUCUGGAGUGAAAGUCCGGGGCUCAACCCCGGAACUGCACUGGAAACUGUUGAACUUGAGUGCAGGAGAGGUAAGCGGAAUUCCUGGUGUAGCGGUGAAAUGCGUAGAUAUUAGGAGGAACACCAGUGGCGAAGGCGGCUUACUGGACUGUAACUGACGUUGAGGCGCGAAAGCGUGGGGAGCAAACAGGAUUAGAUACCCGUGUAGUC
This 443-nucleotide ribosomal RNA is filed under the name uncultured bacterium. Its description in RNAcentral is "partial 16S ribosomal RNA". It matches the Rfam family "Bacterial small subunit ribosomal RNA", at positions 338 to 795 of the family's 1533-position model. The record is from RNAcentral.